GAGUUGUUAGAUUCAUUUGGAUUGCAUUCCUUCCUGUUCUAAAGCAAUACAAACUCUGCUGAGUUUCUUUUCAAAUUUUUUUAAAUUUUAAUUCCAUUUCAAAAUCCUAACUCUAUCAGUGUAUAAACUAGGAAUCACAAAGAGAGUUGCAGAUGCUUUGUUGCGGCAAGAAGAAGAGAUGGAACUUUAGGCUAUUACUAGACCAUUUUGGUUAGAGCUGGAAGAGAUUGAUGCAGCUGUUCAAUGAGAUUCCACUCUCCAGAAGAUAAUUUCCAAUCUGAAAUAGAAUACCAGUUCUCAUGGCCACUGUUCAUUAGUACAAAAUAGAUUAUUCUACAAAGGAAGAAUAGUGGUGACACCAGAUUCACCCUGGGAGCAAUAAUUGAUUUCAAAAUUCCAUUCACACCUCUAGGUGGACACUCGGGAGCUUAUAGGACAUAUCAACAUUUAGCAUUAAAUGUGUACUAGAAAUGAAUGGAACAUUUCAGUCUAAAACUUUGUGGCAAAGUGUCUAAUAUGCUAAAAGCACUAAUACAGAACUUUAUCUCCAACUGGAUUGCUACAACAGCUUCCCAUACCCAAGCUCUGACACUAAGUAUGCUAAGUCUGAGUCUCCCUCGUUCUUGAGGAAUUGAUUGUUUUCUGGUGGUGAUAGAUCGCUUAUGGAAGUAUGGACAUUUCUUGGGUAUGAAACACCCUCAUACAACCAAGAUGGUAGACAAAAUCAUCGCAAAGAAAAGAAUAAGAUUACAUGGCAUGCCGGGAUCUAUUAUGAACUAUGGAAACCCAUUGUUUCCCCAUAACUUUUGGGGAGAAUUGUUUUGGUUACAAGGUACCACAUUUAGAAUGAGCACAGAAUAUCACCCUGAAACAAAUGACCAAAUAGAAGUUCUUAACAGGGCACAGGAAACUUAUCUCCAAUGUUUUGCCUCAUGGCAACCUAAAAAGUGGAGCAAAUGGCCGUCAUGGGCACAAUAUUGGUAAAAUUUAAGUUUUCACACAGCAGCAGGGAUGACUCUAUUUGAAAUAGUGUAUGGUAGAACUCCUCCAACAUUGCAUCAAUAUUUAUUUACCCAGUAGAAACUAGGUGGAAGCAGUGGCACAAACAUUAGCUGAGAGAUACAAGAUACUCAAGCAACUGAAGUAUAAUUUAAGAAAGGCCUAGCAAUGAAUGGUGCGAGCAGCCAAUGUCCAUCAACGGGAAGUCCACUUUGAAGAAGGAGAAUCUUUAUUCGUUAAGCUAUGACCACAUAGACAACUUUCUGUUCACAACAAGGUAAAUCCAAAAUUAGCAGCAUGCUAUUAUGGUCCUUUUUGCAUCACAAAGAUGAUAGGACCUGCAGUCUCCUGCCUACAACUUCCACUAGAGGUCAAAUACAUCCAGUAUUUCAUGUGUCCCAGCUCAAGAGAGUAGUAGGUCAACAUGAAGCAAUAGCUGUACUAGCAAGAGCAUUGGAAGUAGAUGGAGAAUCAGUGGAACCAGAUGCAGUGAUAUAAAGGAGAACCAGAACAGUAGUGUAGCAAAGGUGGCCAGGAUAGGAGCCCUAACUUCAGUUACUGCAGCAAUUUAGAAGAGAAACAGAAGAAAGAAAGGGAUAGAAGAGAAGAGAAAGAAAUAGACAGAGAAAGGAAGAGAGAGAAAGAGAAGAGUUUAGAGGUUGAAGAGUCUUUAUUGAUUAGAAAUUCUAGAAUGAAUCCACAAUAGAGCUUCCAGCUCCUUUAAACAGUUACAACUCCUUCUCGAAAACUACAACUGUUGCAGCUCUAGUAACUGUUUUUCCGUCCUUUUCUUAACUACUUAACAGUUUCUAGUAACUAUUCAAACAACUCUUCCCUCUAACUGAUAACUACUUCCUGCUUUCUCUUAUUCUUAUAUUUCCUUUAUAUGUGAUACAGCUCAUUGAGAAGGCAACUUGGGUUGAUAAUAUAGACUUAGCUAAUCAAUUUCCUCACUUCAGCCUUGAGGACAAGGCUGCUUCUCAACAGGUAGGCAAUGAUAAGG
This 2002-nucleotide unclassified non-coding RNA is filed under the name Hevea brasiliensis (rubber tree). Lineage: Eukaryota; Viridiplantae; Streptophyta; Magnoliopsida; Malpighiales; Euphorbiaceae. The record is from RNAcentral.